Molecule: unclassified non-coding RNA, 320 nt
Filed under: Zea mays
Lineage: Eukaryota; Viridiplantae; Streptophyta; Magnoliopsida; Poales; Poaceae
Description: misc RNA Zm00001eb066170
Source: RNAcentral
CUCCGGCCUCGGCUCCUAGCAGGUGGGGACACAGGACUUGGUGCACUUGGCGGCGCACUUGCUGUGCGCCGAGAGCGUGCAGCCCUUGCCGCAGAUCAUCUUCUUCUUGUGGCACUCCUCCUUGGUGAGGCAGCUCUUGCCCUGCUUCUCGCCCUCCUCCUUGCCGUGCUCACCGCUGCUGCCACUGCCGCCCGACGAGCUCUGGUCGUCGCCCUGCGUGGCCAUGCCGCCGCUCGGCCUCGCCGGCGACGCCUUGUCGGCAGCCCAGGUGGACGCGGAGGGCGCCACCCUUGCACCCUCUGCGACCAGCGGGCCCGUGG